GUAAUGGUGUCUUUAGACACCACCUCUAUGUUCAAAAAAAAUUCUU
Molecule: non-coding RNA, 46 nt
Organism: Picea glauca (white spruce)
Lineage: Eukaryota; Viridiplantae; Streptophyta; Pinopsida; Pinales; Pinaceae
Source: Rfam